This 376-nucleotide ribosomal RNA is filed under the name uncultured bacterium. RNAcentral's name for it is "bacterial SSU rRNA". It matches the Rfam family "Bacterial small subunit ribosomal RNA", at positions 524 to 898 of the family's 1533-position model. The record is from RNAcentral.
AACGUAGGAGACGAGCGUUAUCCGGAUUUACUGGGCGUAAAGCGCGUGUAGGAGGCGCUACAAGUUGGAUGUGAAAGCUCCCGGCUUAACUGGGAGAGGUCGUUCAAGACUGUAGGGCUAGAGUGAGGCAGAGGUAGAUGGAACUCCGGGAGUAGUGGUGAAAUGCGUAGAUAUCCGGAAGAACACCAGAGGCGAAAGCGAUCUACUGGGCCUAAACUGACACUGAGACGCGAAAGCCAGGGUAGCAAACGGGAUUAGAGACCCCGGUAGUCCUGGCCGUAAACGAUGUAGACUGAGCGUUGGUUGGGUAAAACCAAUCAGUGCUGAAGCAAACGCGAUAAGUCUACCGCCUGGGGAGUACGGUCGCAAGAUUAAA